ACGCUGGCGGCGUGCUUAACACAUGCAAGUCGAACGAUGAAGCCUAGCUUGCUAGGUGGAUUAGUGGCGAACGGGUGAGUAAUACGUGAGUAACCUACCUUUAACUCUGGGAUAAGCCUGGGAAACUGGGUCUAAUACCGGAUACGACCAAUCUCCGCAUGGGGUGUUGGCGGAAAGCGUUAUGUAAUGGUUAUAGAUGGGCUCACGGCCUAUCAGCUUGUUGGUGAGGUAACGGCUCACCAAGGCGACGACGGGUAGCCGGCCUGAGAGGGUGACCGGCCACACUGGGACUGAGACACGGCCCAGACUCCUACGGGAGGCAGCAGUGGGGAAUAUUGCACAAUGGGCGCAAGCCUGAUGCAGCGACGCCGCGUGAGGGAUGACGGCCUUCGGGUUGUAAACCUCUGUUAGCAGGGAAGAAGAGAGAUUGACGGUACCUGCAGAGAAAGCGCCGGCUAACUACGUGCCAGCAGCCGCGGUAAUACGUAGGGCGCGAGCGUUGUCCGGAAUUAUUGGGCGUAAAGAGCUUGUAGGCGGUUUGUCGCGUCUGCUGUGAAAGGCCGGAGCUUAACUCCGUGUAUUGCAGUGGGUACGGGCAGGCUAGAGUGCAGUAGGGGAGACUGGAAUUCCUGGUGUAGCGGUGGAAUGCGCAGAUAUCAGGAGGAACACCGAUGGCGAAGGCAGGUCUCUGGGCUGUAACUGACGCUGAGAAGCGAAAGCAUGGGGAGCGAACAGGAUUAGAUACCCUGGUAGUCCAUGCCGUAAACGUUGGGCACUAGGUGUGGGGGACAUUCCACGUUUUCCGCGCCGUAGCUAACGCAUUAAGUGCCCCGCCUGGGGAGUACGGCCGCAAGGCUAAAACUCAAAGAAAUUGACGGGGGCCCGCACAAGCGGCGGAGCAUGCGGAUUA
Molecule: ribosomal RNA, 910 nt
Filed under: uncultured bacterium
Lineage: Bacteria
Description: bacterial SSU rRNA
Rfam family: Bacterial small subunit ribosomal RNA
Source: RNAcentral